GACGAACGCUGGCGGCGUGCUUAACACAUGCAAGUCGAACGGAAAGGCCCUGCUUUUGUGGGGUGCUCGAGUGGCGAACGGGUGAGUAACAUGUGAGUAACCUGCCCUUGACUUUGGGAUAACUUCAGGAAACUGGGGCUAAUACCGGAUCGGAGCUCCUGCUGCAAGGUGGGGGUUGGAAAGUUUCGGCGGUUGGGGAUGGACUCGCGGCUUAUCAGCUUGUUGGUGGGGUAGUGGCUUACCAAGGCUUUGACGGGUAGCCGGCCUGAGAGGGUGACCGGCCACAUGGGGACUGAGAGACGGCCCAGAGUCCUACGGUGGACAGCAGUGGCGAAUAUUGCACAAUGGGCGGAAGCCUGAGGCAGCAACGCCGCGUUCGUGAUGACGGCCUGCGGGUUGUAAACCGCUUUCGCCUGUGACGAAGCGUGAGUGACGGUAAUGGGUAAAGAAGCACCGGCUAACUACGUG
RNAcentral lists this ribosomal RNA (468 nucleotides) under uncultured bacterium. RNAcentral describes it as "partial 16S ribosomal RNA". It matches the Rfam family "Bacterial small subunit ribosomal RNA", at positions 28 to 507 of the family's 1533-position model. The record is from RNAcentral.